Acanthosepion pharaonis is the source of this 113-nucleotide non-coding RNA. The record is from the annotation of a GenBank genome assembly. Lineage: Eukaryota; Metazoa; Mollusca; Cephalopoda; Sepiida; Sepiidae.
UACGGUAAUUUCAAGUUGAAACACCGGUUCCCGUACAAUAACGGAAGUUAAGCAACGUCAAACCUGGUUAGUACCUAAAUGAGUGACCGCCUGGGGAUACCAGGUGCCGUAAG